RNAcentral lists this ribosomal RNA (497 nucleotides) under uncultured bacterium. Its description in RNAcentral is "partial 16S ribosomal RNA". It matches the Rfam family "Bacterial small subunit ribosomal RNA", at positions 28 to 507 of the family's 1533-position model. The record is from RNAcentral.
GAUGAACGCUGGCGGCGUGCCUAAUACAUGCAAGUCGAGCGAACAGAUGAGGAGCUUGCUCCUCUGACGUUAGCGGCGGACGGGUGAGUAACACGUGGAUAACCUACCUAUAAGACUGGGAUAACUUCGGGAAACCGGAUCUAAUACCGGAUAAUAUAUUGAACCGCAUGGUUCAAUAGUGAAAGACGGUUUUGCUGUCACUUAUAGAUGGAUCCGCGCCGCAUUAGCUAGUUGGUAAGGUAACGGCUUACCAAGGCAACGAUGCGUAGCCGACCUGAGAGGGUGAUCGGCCACACUGGAACUGAGACACGGUCCAGACUCCUACGGGAGGCAGCAGUAGGGAAUAUUCCGCAAUGGGCGAAAGCCUGACGGAGCAACGCCGCGUGAGUGAUGAAGGUCUUCGGAUCGUAAAACUCUAUUAUUAGGGAAGAACAAAUGUGUAAGUAACUAUGCACGUCUUGACGGUACCUAAUCAGAAAGCCACGGCUAACUACGUG